RNAcentral lists this long non-coding RNA (199 nucleotides) under Elaeis guineensis (African oil palm). Its description in RNAcentral is "long non-coding RNA (EGUI_LNC058231)". Lineage: Eukaryota; Viridiplantae; Streptophyta; Magnoliopsida; Arecales; Arecaceae. The record is from RNAcentral.
AUAUGAUCAGCCCCUUUAAGCAUGUACAAGAGGUGCCCUAGAAAUACAUGUCAGGUAGUUGGGGCGCCAACUCUUGGCACCCCACAAAGGGAUUUCUAGCCAAAUAAGAGAGGGUGUGGCCCCACCUCUCUCUCCUCCACACCAUAUCACAUAAGAGGGAGUGGGCCCCUCUAGGAUUUGGUAACCAAUUCUUGCCAAA